This 460-nucleotide ribosomal RNA is filed under the name uncultured bacterium. Its description in RNAcentral is "partial 16S ribosomal RNA". It matches the Rfam family "Bacterial small subunit ribosomal RNA", at positions 338 to 795 of the family's 1533-position model. The record is from RNAcentral.
CCUACGGGAGGCUGCAGUGAGGAAUAUUGGUCAAUGGACGGAAGCCUGAACCAGCCAUGCCGCGUGCAGGAAGACGGCUCUAUGAGUUGUAAAUUGCUUUUGUACAAGGGUAAACCUGAAUACGUGUAUUCAGCUGAAAGUACUGUACGAAUAAGGAUCGGCUAACUCCGUGCCAGCAGCCGCGGUAAUACGGAGGAUCCAAGCGUUAUCCGGACUUAUUGGGUUUAAAGGGUGCGUAGGCGGAUUGAUAAGUUAGAGGUGAAAUGUCCGAGCUUAACUCGGGAACUGCCUCUAAUACUGUUGAUCUAGAGAGUAGAUGCGGUAGGCGGAAUGUAUGGUGUAGCGGUGAAAUGCUUAGAGAUCAUACAGAACACCGAUUGCGAAGGCAGCUUACCAAUCUAUAUCUGACGUUGAGGCACGAAAGCGUGGGGAGCAAACAGGAUUAGAUACCCUGGUAGUC